GAUGAACGCUGGCGGCGUGCUUAACACAUGCAAGUCGAACGAGGCACUUUAUUUGAUUUCCUUCGGGACUGAUUAUUUUGUGACUGAGUGGCGGACGGGUGAGUAACGCGUGGGUAACCUGCCUUGUACAGGGGGAUAACAGUUGGAAACGGCUGCUAAUACCGCAUAAGCGCACGGCAUCGCAUGAUGCAGUGUGAAAAACUCCGGUGGUAUAAGAUGGACCCGCGUUGGAUUAGCUAGUUGGUGAGGUAACGGCCCACCAAGGCGACGAUCCAUAGCCGACCUGAGAGGGUGACCGGCCACAUUGGGACUGAGACACGGCCCAAACUCCUACGGGAGGCAGCAGUGGGGAAUAUUGCACAAUGGGCGAAAGCCUGAUGCAGCGACGCCGCGUGAGCGAAGAAGUAUUUCGGUAUGUAAAGCUCUAUCAGCAGGGAAGAUAAUGACGGUACCUGACGAAGAAGCACCGGCUAAAUACGUG
This 481-nucleotide ribosomal RNA is filed under the name uncultured bacterium. RNAcentral describes it as "partial 16S ribosomal RNA". It matches the Rfam family "Bacterial small subunit ribosomal RNA", at positions 28 to 507 of the family's 1533-position model. The record is from RNAcentral.